This 459-nucleotide ribosomal RNA is filed under the name uncultured bacterium. RNAcentral describes it as "partial 16S ribosomal RNA". It matches the Rfam family "Bacterial small subunit ribosomal RNA", at positions 338 to 795 of the family's 1533-position model. The record is from RNAcentral.
CCUACGGGUGGCAGCAGUGAGGAAUAUUGGUCAAUGGGCGCAAGCCUGAACCAGCCAAGCCGCGUGAGGGAAGACGGCCCUAUGGGUUGUACACCUCUUUUGUCGGAGAACAAAACCCGGGACGUGUCCCGUACUGCGUGUAUCCGAAGAAAAAGCAUCGGCUAACUCCGUGCCAGCAGCCGCGGUAAUACGGAGGAUGCGCGCGUUAUCCGGAUUUAUUGGGUUUAAAGGGUGCGUAGGCGGUCCGUUAAGUCAGCGGUAAAAUUGCGGGGCUCAACCCCGUCGAGCCGUUGAAACUGGCAGACUUGAGUUGGCGAGAAGUACGCGGAAUGCGCGGUGUAGCGGUGAAAUGCAUAGAUAUCGCGCAGAACUCCGAUUGCGAAGGCAGCGUACCGGCGCCAGACUGACGCUGAGGCACGAAAGCGUGGGGAUCGAACAGGAUUAGAUACCCUUGUAGUC